GACGAACGCUGGCGGCGUGCUUAACACAUGCAAGUCGAACGGAAAGGCCCUGCUUUUGUGGGGUGCUCGAGUGGCGAACGGGUGAGUAACACGUGAGUAACCUGCCCUUGACUUUGGGAUAACUUCAGGAAACUGGGGCUAAUACCGGAUAGGAGCUCCUGCUGCAUGUUGGGGGGUGGAAAGUUUCGGCGGUUGGGGAUGGACUCGCGGCUUAUCAGCUUGUUGGUGGGGUAGUGGCUUACCAAGGCUUUGACGGGUAGCCGGCCUGAGAGGGUGACCGGCCACAUUGGGACUGAGAUACGGCCCAGACUCCUACGGGAGGCAGCAGUGGGGAAUAUUGCACAAUGGGCGGAAGCCGGAUGCAGCAACGCCGCGUGCGGGAUGACGGCCUUCGGGUUGUAAACCGCUUUCGCCUGUGACGAAGCGUGAGUGACGGUAAUGGGUAAAGAAGCACCGGCUAACUACGUG
RNAcentral lists this ribosomal RNA (468 nucleotides) under uncultured bacterium. RNAcentral describes it as "partial 16S ribosomal RNA". It matches the Rfam family "Bacterial small subunit ribosomal RNA", at positions 28 to 507 of the family's 1533-position model. The record is from RNAcentral.